This is a long non-coding RNA of Culex quinquefasciatus (southern house mosquito), 1104 nucleotides long. RefSeq lists it as uncharacterized. The record is from RefSeq and is a predicted model, not a curated record. Lineage: Eukaryota; Metazoa; Arthropoda; Insecta; Diptera; Culicidae. The transcript is spliced from 2 exons.
GAACUUUAGCGUAGCGUGUAAAACCCUCCUCCUCCUUCCAGCCAAACCCGAGAAAGAAAAAAAAACCGUGAAACGCUCGCGUUGUGUUCCGUUCCAGGCAAGAAACAAGAACAAAGUACUACCCUCUAAGCAAACAGAUGAAUUUCUUUCCUUCCAGAGUGAAAAAAAAAAAACAAAAAAAAACUAACUUAACAACUUUUUAGAACUAUUUUAACAAAAGAAAAAGAGAACGAAAAUUCCUCCCUCCUAAAAGAAGAGAAACAAAAAUUACAAGGAAAAUGGGGAAAAUUCCUGCCAAAUUGCAAGAAAAAAAAAACAAAAAUACUACAAAGAAUGUCGCAACUUGGUGCAAAAUAGAGAAAUAAAAAAAAUCGUUUAUGUGUAUAUUUGCGAACGUGUCCUAAGUUCGAACUAAUGGUAGCUGUAACUGGAAGUAAAUUUAUUUUUACAACAAAGGAAAACAGAAAUAAAACACAACCUAACAAACUACAUGCACACAUUCACAUCUUAUCGCAAAAAGAAACAAAAAACAGAACGAGAUUAACAAAACAAAGCGUAUAAAUUAAAAGCAGAAUAUUAAAGGUAAACAUCACACGCGUGCAAGCACGCAACAAAAGAAAUCAAACAUUCAAAAUCACCAACAGAUCAACACACAGACAUUUUAAUAUUUUGUACAUACAAUCGAACAAUCCUUGAAGAGAAUAAACAUUAACUUAAAGUCAUGCUACGGAAAACAUUCUCCCACUCAAAUUUGAUGAAAAAAAGAAACAAAACGGCAGUAAAACAACAUCACAGAAAAAAAACAAACACACACAAAACUAGCAAAAGAUCGACUGGAAGUGUUAAACUUAUUAUUUUUGUGUACAUAUUGAGAGCUAAACUAAACAACACAACUAAAAAGAUAUGGUAUGGUGGGAUUAAUAUGGCGCGGUGUCCUUCUCACUGUGCGGGGAGAUUAAUUAAACUAAAGAGAAAACAAACACACACACACGUAACACAACACAACAACACACACACACUUAGUUAUAUACAUUGUAAGCGUCAAAAGAGAUAAAAAAAAGGUAAAAAGUAAAUUAAAGAGGAAAUAAUGUACUGUAAUAAAAA